This 279-nucleotide ribosomal RNA is filed under the name Armillaria borealis. RNAcentral describes it as "partial 26S ribosomal RNA". It matches the Rfam family "Eukaryotic large subunit ribosomal RNA", at positions 3132 to 3401 of the family's 3401-position model. The record is from RNAcentral. Lineage: Eukaryota; Fungi; Basidiomycota; Agaricomycetes; Agaricales; Physalacriaceae.
AAGUCAGAAUCCGUGCUAGAAACGAUGAUUUUGGUGUCGCACAUUAGACUUGUGUUUAAAUAGAGCUUUGCUCGUGAACCAAAUAUGGUGGGCUGGGUUGUCUUUGUGGAAACGCUUAGGCGACUUGUCUACGAAUUGUAAUCAUAAUAUGGGCGGCGGUGAAUCCUUUGCAGACGACUUGAAUGGGAACGGGGUACUGUAAGUGGUAGAGUAGCCUUGUUGCUACGAUCCACUGAGGUUAAGCCCUUGUUCUAAAGAUUUGUUCAACUUUGUUGGACU